CGGCGGACGGGUGAGUAACACGUGGGUAACCUACCUAUAAGACUGGGACAACUUCGGGAAACCGGAGCUAAUACCAGAUAAUAUGUUGAACCGCAUGGUUCAAUAGUGAAAGAUGGUUUUGCUAUCACUUAUAGAUGGACCCGCGCCGUAUUAGCUAGUUGGUGAGGUAACGGCUCACCAAGGCAACGAUACGUAGCCGACCUGAGAGGGUGAUCGGCCACACUGGAACUGAGACACGGUCCAG
Molecule: ribosomal RNA, 244 nt
Filed under: uncultured Staphylococcus sp.
Lineage: Bacteria; Bacillati; Bacillota; Bacilli; Caryophanales; Staphylococcaceae
Description: partial 16S ribosomal RNA
Rfam family: Bacterial small subunit ribosomal RNA
Source: RNAcentral